This 301-nucleotide ribosomal RNA is filed under the name uncultured bacterium. RNAcentral describes it as "partial 16S ribosomal RNA". It matches the Rfam family "Bacterial small subunit ribosomal RNA", at positions 509 to 809 of the family's 1533-position model. The record is from RNAcentral.
CAGCCGCCACGGGAAAACGUAGGGCGCAAGCGUUGUCCGGAAUUAUUGGGCGUAAAGAGCUCGUAGGCGGUCUGUCGCGUCUGGUGUGAAAUCCCGAGGCUCAACCUCGGGCUUGCAUCGGGUACGGGCAGACUAGAGUGCGGUAGGGGAGACUGGAAUUCCUGGUGUAGCGGUGGAAUGCGCAGAUAUCAGGAGGAACACCGAUGGCGAAGGCAGGUCUCUGGGCCGCAACUGACGCUGAGGAGCGAAAGCAUGGGGAGCGAACAGGAUUAGAUACCCCAGUAGUCCCUGUCUCUUAUAA